Chlorocebus sabaeus (green monkey) is the source of this 1855-nucleotide non-coding RNA. NCBI's taxonomy places the organism in Eukaryota, Metazoa, Chordata, Mammalia, Primates, Cercopithecidae. The record is from RefSeq and is a predicted model, not a curated record.
GCUCUGACAUCACUGAGCACGUGGGCUGCGGCCGCUCUUAAAGUGGCCGCGAGGGUCGCGAGGCUGACCAGGUCCGGAUGCUGCGAGCGCCGCGGGCCAGGUGGGCCUGUCCCGGGACCCGCAACCGGGCGACUUCCCGGGGGCAGGGGUGGCGUGUGGCCUGUAGAAUAAACUGAGGGAAAGUAGACAGACUGUGCUCACCGAUUUAAAAGAACAGCCCUGAAAUGACCCCCGUUACGCCCUGUUCUCUUUAGACGAGUGACUUCCACCUGGAGCGGUUUCUGGGCCCGGGCAUGGGGAUUUCCUCACCCGGCCGCCUAGGCUUUCACCUCUGUGGAAUUUCCCGCGCCCCUGCUGGGAUGAUUUAGGGACUGUUGGCUAGAACUGCCCUUGCCGCCCGCCCUACUGCGGGCGCUCCCCUGUCUGUGGGGGGUGCUUGGCUGGGUGUGGAGAAGGAUCAAUCACAGCUGACUCCUGAGAGGUGACAGCCCCCGCCCCCUUAAAAACAAGAAAAGAUCUGGAAGUGUGAAGCCAAACUGCAGCCCCACCCCCGGUGACAGGAGGAAACCGCGAGGCGCACAGCCUAAGGUUCAUCGUUCAUCUCCUUCUGCUUGGAGUCAGAAUGUCCUCACUGCUGAGUUCCUCCGUUUUGUGGGAUUACAUUAGUGGACAAAGGAGACUCUGCUCUCUCACCUGAUGGCAAUGACGCGCAGCAACACUGAGCUCCUCCGAGUGAAGAAAUCAUUGUUUUCUGCACAACCUGGAGCUGAAUCAUAGAAGAAGACAGCUUGAAAGAUAAGAGGCCGUAAGGCAGACCACAGAGGUUGGGGAGGAUUUCCCCAGCACCCCAGCCCCCACAGUCAGCUCUGGUUCAGCGAUUUCAGCAACUCUUUCUUGACCCAUCUGAUUUUGUUUUAUCCCAGCCCUACAGAGAAAGGACUCUACAGGUCAGGACUUGCUUCUUCAACAAACAAAAACUCCUCUGCCAGAAAAGUUGGAGAAACUAGUUUAGUCGGAGGAUAUGAAGAAGUCACAUCCUGUUUGUUCUGGGGACCUUGUUCUGGGGACCUUGGUGGGAAAUGAGGGUGGGCUGGUGGAGACAAGGAUGAGAAUGAACCUUACUGCAGACCCUUUGGGCUCCACGAGGAGCUGGCUGCAGAAGAGGAAGGGAAGGAAGUUGGCCAGCUGCUGUCUCUGUGACUGGACUUGGGCCAAUCAAGAAACUGAGAGGAGCAGGGCCAGCCAGGCUGUUGUGCCUCAAACUUAGGCAGAAACAAGAAAAGGCAACGAUUUGGGGCUCUGAGUCACCCUCUCUGGAGAAAAGAGAGCUUGGAGGAGGAAAUCACUUUUUGAGCUCCCUUUGCUUUUACACACACAUGUGUUUAUUCCAGUAAAUUCAAACCAAAGAGGAAGAAGUCAUGAAAGGGCAGCUGCCACCUCAGGCCGUGGUGACCGAGACAAAGGAUAUGGGCUGGAUGUAGAUGUCUAAGAAACCAACAGGUAUGCUUUUCGGCUUACCUUGGUUCUGAGCGCCUACUUUUGACCCAUGGGAUCAAAGAUAUUGUUCACGGCUCCAUUCCCAGCACCUGGUACAUCAUAGGUACUCAAUAAAAAUUUUACCAAAUGAAUGAGAGAAAUGGCCAAUACAAAGACUGGCCAAUACUAAGAGUGAAACAGCACUCUUUAGCCUUGGGCUAUGCAUUGUCUUUGGAGCUUGAGAGAUGUGAGUUCCAAUCCUGGCUCUGUCUUUUCUCGGCUUUGUGAACUCAGGCAGUUUAUUGACCCUCACGGAGCCUCAGUUUUCUCUUCCAUGAAGUAGGGGGGAAUAAAACCUACUCCUCAUGGAGAUAAUAUA